ACCUGCUGCGACCAGCCGUGCUCUGCGGCACGCGGCACCAGAAACACAUCGCGCCACGGGAAGAACGUGGCCUUUCAGGGCGUU
Molecule: small RNA, 84 nt
Filed under: Streptomyces sp. M41(2017)
Lineage: Bacteria; Bacillati; Actinomycetota; Actinomycetes; Kitasatosporales; Streptomycetaceae
Description: nrdJ RNA
Rfam family: nrdJ RNA
Source: Rfam by way of RNAcentral